AUCAUGGCUCAGAAUGAACGCUGGCGGCGUGCCUAACACAUGCAAGUACGAGCGAGAAAGUCUCUUCGGAGAUAAGUACAGCGGCGGACGGGUGAGUAACGCGUGAGAAUUACCCUUUAGUGAAGAAUACCUCUGAGAAAUCAGGGUUAAUACUGCAUACGUCCCUACGGGGAGAAAGGUGGCCUCUUGCUGCCGCUAAAGGAUAAGCUUGCGUACUAUUAGCUAGUUGGUGAGGUAAAGGCUCACCAAGGCGAUGAUGGUUAGCCGGCCUGAGAGGGUGUACGGCCACACUGGAACUUAGACACGGUCCAGACUCCUACGGGAGGCAGCAGUGAGGAAUAUUGCGCAAUGGGCGAAAGCCUGACGCAGCGACGCCGCGUGGAGGAUGAAGGUCUUCGGAUUGUAAACUCCUGUUAAGUGGGAAGAAAGACCUAUUUCUAAUACAGAUAGGGGAUGACGGUACCAUUAGAGAAAGCACCGGCUAACUUCGUG
Molecule: ribosomal RNA, 492 nt
Filed under: uncultured bacterium
Lineage: Bacteria
Description: bacterial SSU rRNA
Rfam family: Bacterial small subunit ribosomal RNA
Source: RNAcentral